GGAGUGGCAAAGGGUAGGAGUAAGAACGGGAAGCGAACGAUUUAGACACGGAAAGAAAGAAGUCGUAACUAAUGGAUUCCCAUGAAGGAGGAGAACGCGUGGCGACAGGACGCGUAAACUUUCAGCGACCGAUUCGACGUAGAUUGAUACGUUUCUAUCCGCGUAGGUGGAGGAGGAGGCCUACCGAGGGCCGCCAGCCAAGGAUUCAUCAUCCAUCAUUAGUCCGAACAAUCGAGCCGCUCGCACAAAAGUACUUCGGUCUUUCGGACCGUGCAGAAUAAGGUGGCAUCCGAAGGAGAACAAUUUGAUGGGAGCCCACGCGAGCCAGCGAUUCUGGAGAGUAUGAGGGUACGCCUAAAUCUUAGGAUUACGAACGAGUGUCAAGCGUCUACCCUUCGCCUUUGUCUCCGUUUUACGAUUGUGCCAUCGCCUACGGUGGUACACUGUGCUAGGGGAUGGGACAAGCCGGAGGUAAUUUUUGAAAAGCAAUCUCUACCUGCUGACAGAUAACGAUGAGGAAAGCUGCUUUUAGAAUUCGUUUUGACGAGACACGACCGAGAGCUCUCUCUCUCUCUCUCUCUUUCAUCUCUUUCUUUAAAUCGAAUCAUACGAAUUCGGGAAUCCAGUCUCUACCAGUCUACACGCUAUUUUACAAUUAACUAUCAAAUCUAAUCCGAAAAACUCACGGGACUUACUAUCAGUUCUAUUAAUAUUAUAUGAUAUUAUAAU
Long non-coding RNA from Vespa velutina, 729 nucleotides. RefSeq lists it as uncharacterized. NCBI's taxonomy places the organism in Eukaryota, Metazoa, Arthropoda, Insecta, Hymenoptera, Vespidae. The transcript is spliced from 3 exons. The record is from RefSeq and is a predicted model, not a curated record.